RNAcentral lists this ribosomal RNA (799 nucleotides) under uncultured bacterium. RNAcentral's name for it is "bacterial SSU rRNA". It matches the Rfam family "Bacterial small subunit ribosomal RNA", at positions 8 to 796 of the family's 1533-position model. The record is from RNAcentral.
AGAGUUUGAUCCUGGCUCAGAUUGAACGCUGGCGGCACGCCUAACACAUGCAAGUCGAGCGGUAGCAUGGUUAGUAGCAAUACUAACUGAUGACGAGCGGCGGACGGGUGAGGAACACGUAGGAACCUGCCCUUUAGCGGGGGACAACCAAGGGAAACUUUGGCUAAUACCGCGUAAUCUCGAGAGAGGAAAGCUGCCUGUUAAAGGGUGGCGCUAAAGGAGGGGCCUGCGUCCGAUUAGCUAGUUGGUGAGGUAAUAGCUCACCAAGGCGAUGAUCGGUAACUGGUCUGAGAGGACGACCAGUCACACUGGGACUGAGACACGGCCCAGACUCCUACGGGAGGCAGCAGUGGGGAAUAUUGGACAAUGGGGGCAACCCUGAUCCAGCGAUGCCGCGUGGGUGAAGAAGGCCUUCGGGUUGUAAAGCCCUUUAGGUUGGGAAGAAGGGUGUGUACUGAAUAAGUGCAUGCUUUGACGGUACCAACAGAAUAAGCACCGGCAAACUCUGUGCCAGCAGCCGCGGUAAUACAGAGGGUGCGAGCGUUAAUCGGAUUUACUGGGCGUAAAGGGCGCGUAGGCGGUUGUGUGAGUGUGAUGUGAAAGCCCCGGGCUUAACCUGGGAAGUGCAUCGCAAACGACACGACUGGAGUAUAAGAGAGGGUGGCGGAAUUUCCGGUGUAGCGGUGAAAUGCGUAGAGAUCGGAAGGAACGUCAAUGGCGAAGGCAGCCACCUGGCUUAAUACUGACGCUGAGGCGCGAAAGCGUGGGGAUCAAACAGGAUUAGAUACCCUCGUAGUCC